This 55-nucleotide transfer RNA is filed under the name Ricinus sp. ADS-2020. RNAcentral's name for it is "tRNA-Arg". The record is from RNAcentral. Lineage: Eukaryota; Metazoa; Arthropoda; Insecta; Psocodea; Ricinidae.
AAGUAUUUAGUAUAAUUAAUACAUUCAAUUUCGGCUUGAAAAAUAAUAAUACUUU